Molecule: transfer RNA, 62 nt
Filed under: Megaustenia imperator imperator
Lineage: Eukaryota; Metazoa; Mollusca; Gastropoda; Stylommatophora; Ariophantidae
Description: tRNA-Gly
Source: RNAcentral
GUUAGUUUAGUAUAAUAAUUAUAAUUACCUUCCAAGUAAGAGAUAUCAUAUGAUAACUAAAA